RNAcentral lists this ribosomal RNA (292 nucleotides) under uncultured microorganism. RNAcentral describes it as "partial 16S ribosomal RNA". It matches the Rfam family "Bacterial small subunit ribosomal RNA", at positions 505 to 796 of the family's 1533-position model. The record is from RNAcentral.
GUGCCAGCAGCCGCGGUAAUACGUAGGGUGCGAGCGUUGUCCGGAUUUAUUGGGCGUAAAGAGCUCGUAGGCGGUUUGUCGCGUCGUUCGUGAAAACUCCACGCUUAACGUGGAGCGUGCGGGCGAUACGGGCAGACUUGAGUUCGGUAGGGGAGACUGGAAUUCCUGGUGUAGCGGUGAAAUGCGCAGAUAUCAGGAGGAACACCGGUGGCGAAGGCGGGUCUCUGGGCCGAUACUGACGCUGAGGAGCGAAAGCGUGGGGAGCGAACAGGAUUAGAUACCCUGGUAGUCC